RNAcentral lists this ribosomal RNA (400 nucleotides) under Crustacea environmental sample. RNAcentral describes it as "partial small subunit ribosomal RNA". It matches the Rfam family "Eukaryotic small subunit ribosomal RNA", at positions 30 to 432 of the family's 1831-position model. The record is from RNAcentral. Lineage: Eukaryota; Metazoa; Arthropoda.
GCUUGUCUCAAAGAUUAAGCCAUGCAUGUCUAAGUACAAGCCUCAGUAAGGUGAAACCGCGAAUGGCUCAUUAAAUCACACCUAAUCUACUGGAAAGUUACUAGUUACUUGGAUAACUGAGGUAAUUCUUGAGCUAAUACAUGCGAAAAAUCUCGACUCACGGAGAGAUGCUUUUAUUAGAUCAAAACCAAACGGCUUCGGCCGUCUCAUUGGUGACUCUGAAUAACUUUGGGCUGAUCGUAUGGCAUCAGCUGGCGAUGAAUCAUUCAAGUUUCUGACCUAUCAGCUUCCGACGGUAGGGUAUUGGCCUACCGUGGCAAUGACGGGUAACGGAGAAUUAGGGUUCGAUUCCGGAGAGGGAGCCUGAGAAACGGCUACCACAUCUAAGGAAGGCAGCAGG